GACGAACGCUGGCGGCGUGCUUAACACAUGCAAGUCGAACGGAAAGGCCCAGCUUGCUGGGUGCUCGAGUGGCGAACGGGUGAGUAACACGUGGGUGAUCUGCCCCUAACUUCGGGUUAAGCUUGGGAAACUGGGUCUAAUACCGGAUAGGACAGUCGUUUAGUGUCGGUUGUGGUAAGUUUUUUCGGUUAGGGAUGAGCCCGCGGCCUAUCAGCUUGUUGGUGGGGUAAUGGCCUACCAAGGCGUCGACGGGUAGCCGGCCUGAGAGGGUGGACGGCCACAUGGGGACUGAGAUACGGCCCAGACUCCUACGGGAGGCAGCAGUGGGGAAUAUUGCACAAUGGGCGCAAGCCUGAUGCAGCGACGCCGCGUGGGGGAUGACGGCCUUCGGGUUGUAAACCUCUUUCGACAGGGACGAAGCUUUGGUGACGGUACCUGUAGAAGAAGCACCGGCUAACUACGUG
Molecule: ribosomal RNA, 464 nt
Filed under: uncultured bacterium
Lineage: Bacteria
Description: partial 16S ribosomal RNA
Rfam family: Bacterial small subunit ribosomal RNA
Source: RNAcentral